Sander lucioperca (pikeperch) is the source of this 316-nucleotide long non-coding RNA. RefSeq lists it as uncharacterized. Lineage: Eukaryota; Metazoa; Chordata; Actinopteri; Perciformes; Percidae. The record is from RefSeq and is a predicted model, not a curated record. The transcript has 3 exons.
CAUCCACUGGAAACCAUAAAUGGCUGUACCAAAUUUGGUGCCAAUCCAUCAAAUAAAUGUUGAGAUAUUUUAGUUUGGACCAAAGUGGUUGACCGUCCAACAGAUCGAGAUUGCAACCAGAGCCACAGCAUGGCUAAAACGCUCUGCUGGACAGACAGACCUGCCCGGGUGGACACUUGAGAGGGAAUCUGAUGCAGUCCAGAGCCCUACUGAAUACAAGACAGGGGGAUUUGGCUUCUGCACGACCCCUGCUGGAGGACAGAAGGCAUGGCUCGCUUGUCGACCUGCUGACGCCUCAUGCGGAUGACAGCUGCGU